UACAGAGGGUGCGAGCGUUGUCCGGAAUCACUGGGCGUAAAGGGCGCGUAGGCGGCUUGAUAAGGUUGCGGUGAAAGCCCGGGGCUCAACCCCGGGUCGGCCGUGGCAACUGUCGAGCUGGAGCACUGUAGAGGCAGGUGGAAUUCCCGGUGUAGCGGUGGAAUGCGUAGAGAUCGGGAAGAAUACCCGUGGCGAAGGCGGCCAGCUGGGCCAGGUCCGACACUGAGGCGCGAAAGCGUGGGGAGCAAACAGG
RNAcentral lists this ribosomal RNA (253 nucleotides) under uncultured bacterium. RNAcentral's name for it is "partial 16S ribosomal RNA". It matches the Rfam family "Bacterial small subunit ribosomal RNA", at positions 524 to 776 of the family's 1533-position model. The record is from RNAcentral.